This 253-nucleotide ribosomal RNA is filed under the name uncultured bacterium. RNAcentral's name for it is "partial 16S ribosomal RNA". It matches the Rfam family "Bacterial small subunit ribosomal RNA", at positions 524 to 776 of the family's 1533-position model. The record is from RNAcentral.
UACGUAGGUGACAAGCGUUGUCCGGAUUUACUGGGCGUAAAGAGCGCGCAGGCGGUCGUUCAAGUCGAGUGUGAAAGCCCCCGGCUCAACUGGGGAGGGUCAUUCGAUACUGAUCGACUCGAAGGCAGGAGAGGGAAGUGGAAUUCCCGGUGUAGUUGUGAAAUGCGUAGAUAUCGGGAGGAACACCAGUGGCGAAGGCGACUUCCUGGCCUGUUCUUGACGCUGAGGCGCGAAAGCUAGGGGAGCAAACGGG